Molecule: ribosomal RNA, 446 nt
Filed under: uncultured bacterium
Lineage: Bacteria
Description: SSU rRNA
Rfam family: Bacterial small subunit ribosomal RNA
Source: RNAcentral
AGAACGAACGCUGGCGGCAGGCUUAACACAUGCAAGUCGAACGGUUGUAGCAAUACAGCAGUGGCAGACGGGUGAGUAACACGUGGGAACCUUCCUAGGGGUACGGAACAACUCAGGGAAACUUGAGCUAAUACCGUAUACGUCCGUGAGGAGAAAGAUUUAUCGCCCCUAGACGGGCCCGCGUAGGAUUAGGUAGUUGGUGAGGUAACGGCUCACCAAGCCUACGAUCCUUAGCUGAUCUGAGAGGAUGAUCAGCCACACUGGGACUGAGACACGGCCCAGACUCCUACGGGAGGCAGCAGUGGGGAAUCUGGACAAUGGGCGCAAGCCUGAUCCAGCCAUGCCGCGUGAGUGAAGAAGGCCUUCGGGUUGUAAAGCUCUUUUACCAGGGACGAUAAUGACGGUACCUGGAGAAUAAGCCCGGCAAACUUCGUGCCAGCAGCCGC